AAGGGAGACCUAAUUCAGGUAGGAGACGAGAAAAAAGUAGUCGCUACCAAGAAUCAAUCCCAAAAGGUCGGAGCGAGGCGAAAUUGGCUUUCAAACUAGGUUCUGGGUUCAAACAAGACCUGAAUCAGGAACAAGGGCUAUUAGCUCAGGUGGUUAGAGCGCACCCCUGAUAAGGGUGAGGUCCCUGGUUCGAGUCCAGGAUGGCCCACCUGCACAGGUGGCAAAAACAAGAGAAGCGAGGAAUCAGCACCUUAUCUUACUGACAUAGUAAGAGAGAAUGCUGGCUCUGAGUAAAGAGUCCAGAGGAACCUUGAAAACUGCAUAGAGCUAGGUGAAAAAGCCAAAAAAGAAGACCGCAA
RNAcentral lists this transfer RNA (359 nucleotides) under uncultured Microcystis sp. RNAcentral describes it as "partial 16S-23S ribosomal RNA intergenic spacer". The stretch from base 135 to 208 matches the Rfam family "tRNA". The record is from RNAcentral. Lineage: Bacteria; Bacillati; Cyanobacteriota; Cyanophyceae; Chroococcales; Microcystaceae.